This 75-nucleotide transfer RNA is filed under the name Paraplanobispora takensis. Its description in RNAcentral is "Planobispora takensis tRNA-Gln". It matches the Rfam family "tRNA". From Rfam's summary of the family: Transfer RNA (tRNA) molecules are approximately 80 nucleotides in length. Lineage: Bacteria; Bacillati; Actinomycetota; Actinomycetes; Streptosporangiales; Streptosporangiaceae. The record is from RNAcentral.
UGCCGGAUCGUCCAACAGGCAGGACACCCGACUCUGGAUCGGGAAACGGAGGUUCGAUCCCUUCUCCGGCAGCCA